GGGGAAGACAGCGUGAGAGAGGGGAGUGAUUGGGAUCUGGCUCGAUGUUGGAAUUCCAGCAUUGACAUUGAAGCAGCCGAAAGAGGUUUCUGAAUCCGUUGAUCUUUGGCGACUAUCCGAGCUCCAUGAGAAAAACAAGGUCUCCCCUGGUUCUGUUUCUUGUUUAUGCAGCAUUCAAAGCAUUGGAGAAAGGGUAGGGUGCAGUGCAGCUCCUGUGAAAUCUGGUCAAUCUGAAAGGAUAUUUCGUUGGAUAAUUGGGAGUGGACGGCUGGUUUCAGUUCAAGGUAUUUGCACGGUACGUUACAGACAUCUUAACACUAUUAUCUGAAGAACAUCGAAAGAAAAUCCUUCACUAUGCCUUCCGUCAUCCGGUUGCUCGUGGUAUAUUAGAAAACUCGAAGGAUGAGAUUAACGUUCACCUUAUUUUUAUACUAACAUUGCAUACGAAGAUAUUUUUUGAAGUUGUUCGUAGAUUUAAUCAAUGUAUCCAACCAGCGCCACAAUCAUAUACGAUUCAUGGCUUGUGGUCUCAAGAUGGAGGGACCUCUGCACAAAAUUGUCGGGGAACUUCCUUUUCGUCGGAACGGUAAAACUAAAACAACCAAAUAUCUUAAAUUUUCCUUUAUGAACCAUGCAUCGACUCUAUUCUAACAAUUCAACCUAGUGUUUAAACACUCACUACAUAUUUUUAAACUUAAAAGAAAAAUUAAUGGCUAAAUAUAUA
Molecule: long non-coding RNA, 724 nt
Organism: Momordica charantia (bitter melon)
Lineage: Eukaryota; Viridiplantae; Streptophyta; Magnoliopsida; Cucurbitales; Cucurbitaceae
Source: RefSeq, a predicted model, not a curated record